AAAUGGUAAUCGUGCCGAAACCUACCGACCAUUGACACUACAUGAUGAGAGGCCAUGGAAGUCGGAAUCCGCUAAGGAGUGUGUAACAACUCACCUGCCGAAUGAACUAGCCCUGAAAAUGGAUGGCGCUAAAGCGGGCUACUUAUACUUUGCCGUUAGCGCGAUAGCAUUUAUAAUGUACGCGUUAAUG
RNAcentral lists this non-coding RNA (190 nucleotides) under Phytophthora infestans T30-4. Its description in RNAcentral is "Eukaryotic large subunit ribosomal RNA". It matches the Rfam family "Eukaryotic large subunit ribosomal RNA", at positions 1191 to 1379 of the family's 3401-position model. Lineage: Eukaryota; Oomycota; Peronosporomycetes; Peronosporales; Peronosporaceae. The record is from Rfam by way of RNAcentral.